UAAAUGAGGACAAACCUGUCUCUUAUAACCAAUCAGUGAAACUGAUCUCCCAAUACAAAAGUUGGGAUGAACACAUAAGACGAGAAGACCCCGUGGAGCUUAAAACUAACCACUAACCAAACAACCAUAGUGCACUGUUUUAAGUUGGGGCGACUUCGGAACAAAACAAAACCUCCGAGCACAGAACCACCACUUCUAACCAAGGCCAACAAGCCUAAGUUUAACCUGACCCGGCCUCACGCCGAUCAACGAACCAAGUUACCCCGGGGAUAACAGCGCUAUCUUCUUCAAGAGUCCCUAUCAACAAGAAGGUUUACGACCUCGAUGUUGGAUCAGGACACCCAAAUGGUGCAGCCGCUAUUAAUGGUUCGUUUGUUCAACGAUUAACAGUCCU
This 394-nucleotide ribosomal RNA is filed under the name Trachylepis gravenhorstii (Gravenhorst's mabuya). Its description in RNAcentral is "partial 16S ribosomal RNA". It matches the Rfam family "Bacterial large subunit ribosomal RNA", at positions 2001 to 2597 of the family's 2925-position model. Lineage: Eukaryota; Metazoa; Chordata; Lepidosauria; Squamata; Scincidae. The record is from RNAcentral.